ACUACGGGCGGCAGCAGUGGGGAAUAUUGGGCAAUGGGCGCAAGCCUGACCCAGCAACGCCGCGUGAAGGAAGAAGGCUUUCGGGUUGUAAACUUCUUUUCUCAGGGACGAAGCAAGUGACGGUACCUGAGGAAUAAGCCACGGCUAACUACGUGCCAGCAGCCGCGGUAAUACGUAGGUGGCAAGCGUUAUCCGGAUUUACUGGGUGUAAAGGGCGUGUAGGCGGGAAAGCAAGUCAGAUGUGAAAACCAUGGGCUCAACCUGUGGCCUGCAUUUGAAACUGUUUUUCUUGAGUACUGGAGAGGCAGACGGAAUUCCUAGUGUAGCGGUGAAAUGCGUAGAUAUUAGGAGGAACACCAGUGGCGAAGGCGGUCUGCUGGACAGCAACUGACGCUGAGGCGCGAAAGCGUGGGGAGCAAACAGGAUUAGAUACCCUAGUAGUC
RNAcentral lists this ribosomal RNA (443 nucleotides) under uncultured bacterium. RNAcentral's name for it is "partial 16S ribosomal RNA". It matches the Rfam family "Bacterial small subunit ribosomal RNA", at positions 338 to 795 of the family's 1533-position model. The record is from RNAcentral.